UACGAGGGGGGCAAAUGUCGUUCGGAAUCACUGGGCGUAAAGCGCACGUAGGCGGACAUUUAAGUCAGGGGUGAAAUCCCGGAGCUCAACUCCGGAACUGCCUUUGAUACUGGGUGUCUUGAGUAUGGAAGAGGUGAGUGGAAUUCCGAGUGUAGAGGUGAAAUUCGUAGAUAUUCGGAGGAACACCAGUGGCGAAGGCGGCUCACUGGUCCAUAACUGACGCUGAGGUGCGAAAGCGUGGGGAGCAAACAGG
This 253-nucleotide ribosomal RNA is filed under the name uncultured bacterium. RNAcentral's name for it is "partial 16S ribosomal RNA". It matches the Rfam family "Bacterial small subunit ribosomal RNA", at positions 524 to 776 of the family's 1533-position model. The record is from RNAcentral.